This 71-nucleotide transfer RNA is filed under the name Camelus ferus (Wild Bactrian camel). It matches the Rfam family "tRNA". From Rfam's summary of the family: Transfer RNA (tRNA) molecules are approximately 80 nucleotides in length. Their secondary structure includes four short double-helical elements and three loops (D, anti-codon, and T loops). The record is from Rfam by way of RNAcentral. Lineage: Eukaryota; Metazoa; Chordata; Mammalia; Artiodactyla; Camelidae.
GCGGGGGUAGCUCAGUGGUAGAGCAUGUGCUUAGCGUGCACGCGGUCUGGGUUCAAUCCCCAGCACCUCUG